CGCAUGCGCGGCCUGCCUGUCAGUAACCACGUGAUGGACCCGGAAGCCCGAGGGCAGAUGCUAAAUGAUGGCCAUUUGACAUUUGCGUGUGUUCACUAUGGAUAGUUUUACCAAGUACAUUGAUUUGGGCCCUUACAGCUUACAAAGUAAAGAUAACACUUACUCCUCCAAGAAAUUGAUUUCAGCUAAGCAAAACAUUGAUACAGGGCUAUAAUGGAAGUGUUGGACUCAUAAACGUUUUAUGAAAUCAGUGUGUGUGUAUUACAGAAAUCAGAAAUGAGAAGUAAGAACAUGUCUGGGAGAGUGUGACAUAAGAAAAAUAACUUGUAGGCGUAUUUAACAGACAGCAGCAGUUCUCAGGAUUCCCCAUGUUAGAGCCUUCCUUCCUGUCCUCUGAGAAAUGAAAAUGAAAUCCAAAGACCCCCAACUGACUACACGAACCCCCUACUGGCUAAGGAGAUCCCAGGGUUGCCUUGAAGGCAGUUCUCAGCCAUGACAGAUGGGAGUCUCCCUCUGUUGCCGAGGCUGGACUGUACUGCCGUGAU
Molecule: long non-coding RNA, 545 nt
Filed under: Homo sapiens (human)
Lineage: Eukaryota; Metazoa; Chordata; Mammalia; Primates; Hominidae
Description: HSALNT0392267
Source: RNAcentral